AAUAAUGAAUGACACUAAUUUAUAAAAGUUAUAUAUUUAUUAUUCAAAACUAGGAACGGUUUUGCACACGCGUAGAAUAAUUAUUAUUAUCGAUACACCCCAUAGAGUUAAUCACCGUCGAUUGAUUAAUAAACCAUAAACAAAGCGAGCCAAACUAUAAUAGCCACACCCAGCACACAUUUAUAAUAUUUUGCGUAAUAAAAUAGCUAUUAUUAACGAUUAUAAUGAAGGCAAAUGUAUGUUAAUAGCACAUUUUAGCAUAGCACCUGUUUAAUUUCUAAAUGAAUAUUUACAAAUUAAUUUAAAUUAUACCUAUGAUUUAUUUACGUGGCAAUACUCAUUUGACAGUGAUGUUUUUUUUUUGUUUCUAGCCAGUUGUAAAACACGGGGCCAUGGAAUUUAAAAGGUCGGUAUCUAUAAGCUUCGUCAUUGUUUUUUUUAACAAUUCAAGCCUUUUAGCACCACUUCUCGAUAUUAUGAAGUGUUAUUAAAGACAAUUAAAAACACACACUUUGAAAAAAAAGUGUACUAAACGGUGAAAGCAUUAUAAAAUCUGUCCCUAUUUAGACUGCUUAUAAAAAAGAUAUUUAUCAAAAAUAAUUACAAUCUGUGUCGUAUGCUAAACUGUUAGCCAUGUUUACAGUAAAAAAAAGCUUGCAAUUAAAAAUCAUUCUACUUAACCGACGGCGGUAAUUACAAUUUUACUGAACAGUUACUAAACGCACAAAGUUUCGAACAAAUUGUUAACGUACAGUAUUAUUUACAGAUUAAAGUUAAACCGAAUUUAUAAAUCCUCAUUAUAGUCGAGAAUAAGCAUUUAUUUGAAACUAUGAUAUCAGAUUUAUAAUUUAAUUAUUAUAUUAUCCAACCUGCAAUGAUGCUUGCACAUCAAAGCAUGAUACAAAAACUGAUUUAUGUGUUUAUCAUAAACAAAAAAUGUAGAGCAAACGUAGCCUUAUUAAUAAGUACUGUAUUAUUUAUAAAGAGGCUGAACAGUGAACGCCUUUGUCUAGAAAAAAAAAACGCCCUUGUUCGCGCCUUUUUCAAGUGUCACUUUCCUUCGCAUUUCGACUUCAACGCUAUCGAAUAUCAAAAGGCGGGAUUUUUUACAGUUAAUGCAUUGUCACUAUCUUUUUAAUUCAAUGCUUUAGUCAUUUCGGCUUUUUCUUGAAUCUCUUUUACUUUUUAGUAGUGGUAGUCAUCGUUAAAAGUCGUUAAUUUUGUCUAACAAAAGACUUCAAACGGUUUAAUAGUCGGCCAUACUCGACAUUCCAUAUGGCGUUGAUAUAGUUGUCACAUUUUUAGUUUUAUGUUCCGGGCGAAUUGGCGUUUGAAAUAUGCGGCCGAGUUUUUAAAUGUUCUUGUUUUAUACAUAGUUCAGAUAAUUCAAAUUCCUACCUAGUAAGCCAGUUUUCGCUGUAAUGGAUGGCUUUUCCAACAUAGUUGUUGCUAUCUAAUAGACACCUGCUAAGUAAAAAUCUUCUCGGUGCGAACUAAUUUUCUGUUGACUUUUUCAUCUAUUCUAAUGCCAUUGUAUACUAGGAAACGCAAGUUUUCGAUGAUUGAAUAUAUUGGUUUCAAAGCCGUUUGGACUUGAUCGUAAUUAAAGCCUAAAGUUGUAGGGUCUUGAAAAACAACAAGGUCUUGUAUAAAAACGGUCUAAAACACUAAAAGUAUCCAAAUUUUAUCUCAAUCGACAGCGUACUUAAUAAUUGAAACAUUAACUACAAAAACUUGCCUAAAACCACUCGCCGUAACACUAUAAACAAUUGGCUAUCGCGGCACGUGUUAUGUUUAUUCCUUUAACACUCCUACGGAUCCCUUGUGGCGAAACAAUAAAGUCUUAGUGCCCUUUAACAAGGUCAAACGACGUACUUCGGUAAAAAGGGACUCUUUGUUUGAGAGUUCCGUACGCCGAGCCAUUUUGUGUGACGUAUUUGUGAAGUUUGUAGUUUGAAUUUGUCGAGUUGAUCGGUGAAGGGUCAUGCAUUAUAAUGAUAUUAUUGUUAUUGUUAAUUUAUUGAUUUAUAAUAGUGGUUGAGUGAGAAGUGUAUAAGGUAAUAGUAGUGAUUUUGUUUCUCGUUUUUAUUCCGUCUUUUGUAGUUAAAAGAGUUCGUGGACACUAAAAUUGCUUUCACAAUGUAGAGAUGUGUUUUUUUUUCUUAACUUGUUUUUUAGUUUUGUACAAAAGGGCAUUUAUCCAUACAGCUUAUCACUAUCAUCGUUUCGAAGUGUUAAGAAUUAAGAACCACUAAUGAAAGAAUAACAAUGUUAAACAAUUAAAAGGAUCCCAAAUUCGGUAGGCCUUUCCAACCAUUUGGUGGCCACGUGUCAGCUUCGCGUUAAAAUCUAUUAAUCGCAUGUUUUUUGUCAACUGCCAAAUUUCAGUUGAUAAAAAACUAACAGAUGGCUUGCGACGAAUGAGUAAUGUAAGGGUUAAAAAUAAAUAUUAAUUUAUUAGACUGGCAAAUCUGGUUUUACUAAGAUUAAGUAUCGUUAUUCAUUUAUCUGAUAUUUCGAAUACAUUUAAAAAUAAUUCCUUUUGAUGUGUAAUAGGUGACCAACCUUAAUAUGUUGAACUUUUUGGAAUAUUUUCGUGACUUUUCUUUUUAAUUGGCUGUUGAUUGAUUGGAUUGCGAAAAUUGUAAUGAGAAUGAUUUUUUUUCUAUUACUUUUUAAUCUUCAAAUAAAACAAUAACAAUCUUUUUUUGUAUUUAUAUGAUGAAUUGGAAAAAUGUUUGAUUAACAAACGUAGCCGUCUAUUCUCUCCAUUUUAUUUUCAACUUUAUUUUAUUUAGGUACUUAAACCUCAUUUUGUAAAGUUUUUGGUGGGUAUGUGAAUAUCUGUCACUUGUUUACGCCAUAUACUCCUACCUUGUCACAAAGACAUCAUAAUUUUAAUUCGUCUUAAAACUGAUUGUACUAAAUUUUAGUUUGGUUUUAGUAGAUAAAGAUAUUGUUUAUCAACGAAAAUUAUAAGUACGAAUACAAGUUUCUGACUAUUUCAUUAUUGCCAAGACAGUAGCGAAGUAAAUUACACAAUCUUUUGUAGACUACUGCCGCCAUCAAUAAAAUUACUGCCUAUAAAUAAAAGCCAUUACUUCUAAUACCUAUUAGAGGCCAUUAGGCUUACCAAAUAAUUAGACAAGCUCGCGAUAAACUAAAUUAAUGGGCCUUAGAUACAACUAUUUAUUGGUCUAGGUAUAAGAAGAUAGCUUAGAUAGGUAGGUAGGUAUUAGUAGUUAGACUAUUAGGCCUAGACAAUGUAACAUCGUAUUAGCUAACUCUAGGUUUAAUACGUGGAAGAAGGAUAGCGCUCUACACUUCGUAGAACGGCAUCUCUCUUCCACAAUAUCAAUAAUUUGAAUUUAAGACGUGUAGGAAGGCGGAAUAGUAAAAUUUGAAAUUAAUUUAGAGUUACAUAGGUACAUCAAAGUAUGAAUAUACCUAUUAGAUUAGAUAGGAUCCUAUCGAUCGUGAAAUUAGCUACAUUUACCAAAUAUGUUAAAAAAUUAAAAUAAAACGAAGUCUUGAGUGCAUAGUAAUACCUUCUAAUUAAAUAGGUAUAGAUUUCUAGUUAGGCAUAAGUCCACAAUUUGUUUCUUUGCCCGGCAUUUGUGCCUUCAUGUUUGUAGAAAUAGAACGGAGUGCCAUUCAUAUUUUAACGUACGUACGAGAGGAUAUAAAUAAAAAAAUACAACAAAACAUCAACAGACUCGGCAAAGACAUACGAUACCUCAGAUCCUGCUUGUCACAUGUAAAAAAUAUACCGUAUAACGGAACGGAAUCGCGUCAAAAAAUUGAUUUAUACCUCUCAAAACAUAUUUUAGUUUUAACCAUUCAUUAUUUUGGCUUCGAAAAAUGUUCGACAACAUUUAAAAAGUCAUGGAAUGUCAUGUUAACUACUAAUUAACCUAACUAAUACUGCCUAAAUUGGAAUGUGACCGAGGAAUGCCAAACAUUUUUUUGUUUUUUUUUUGUUCGCUCUCUGGCAAAGGUAUUUGUGAAAAGUUGUAUUUCGUGUUCUUAUAAUGAUAUAUGGCGGUGUGAAAAUGUGUCAAAUAUUAAGAAUAAAUAAAUACAUUCGUUUUAGAAGAUAUAUUAGUUUUUUGUAGUUAUUUAUUGUUGUUUUAAUUCAACGAAACAGGAUUACACUCGACACUUGGAUUAUGAUGAACAUUUAAAAUGGAACGACAAAGCAAUUAUUGUAACAAAUCGUUUAUAAGAUCAGAAAAAAAUUAAGUACAUAGUUUUAAUAAUUAAAACAUAAAUGUGAUCAUUAUUUAAGACUCUAGUUAGUAGUUAAACUUUCAAACAAUAUUAUCAAACCAAUGUAACUCAACUUGAAUAAACAUCUAUUGGAAAACUCAAUCCCAACCAAAACUCACACACACACCACCAAAAAAUACAAAAAAAGACCUGUCGACAAAUACACAUCAUCAAAAUCAAAUAGAAAUUCUAAAUUUGCAAAAAAGGUGCUCCCAAAAUCUAUUGUUAAACAGAAAUAGCGUAAUACGAAACGUUAUUGUCCUGUAGCCUACUUCCUUUGAUGCUGCGUGAUAAAACCGAGAGAGGGCGUUGUAGGGCCAAGUAUUAUUAAGUAGCUCUUUUUCACGGCAAUUGUGUCGUCACAAUGUGAAGAUUAUAAGGGAUUAAGGGCCCUUGCUAUUGUGAUUUGAAGGGCCAUCGACGGGUGUUAGCCCUGUGUUGGUGUAAACUUUAAUUUGGGUACGUUUGAGAGGGGAAUGUUUAGAUUUAUCCGAUAGAUAUUGCUUGGAUUGUAAACCGGGGGACUACUCGUGGACCCUCAGAGAGAGGAAGCAAGUAGUGUCAGACUCUUACUGAACAAAACUAAACCGAAGUACUACCUCAACAGCUUUUUGGUCGGAUCAUGUCAGUAUUGCAUGCUGCAUGGUUAACUGUUACACUCAAACAGGAGUGACAGAUCGUCAGCAGUACUGAGAAUUUUGGCUGAAGUGUGCAAAAAUUGGCAACAGAAACAUAAUACACGAUUUUAAAUCCUAUUAUAAAACUACUACAGAUAACUAUAGAAGAAGCUAGGACCUACAGCUACCAUUAAAAAAAAAGAACCAAAGAGGACUAAUAGGUAAACAUAUAUACAAAA
This is a long non-coding RNA of Trichoplusia ni (cabbage looper), 5125 nucleotides long. RefSeq lists it as uncharacterized. The transcript is spliced from 2 exons. The record is from RefSeq and is a predicted model, not a curated record. Lineage: Eukaryota; Metazoa; Arthropoda; Insecta; Lepidoptera; Noctuidae.